AACUUUUGGCAAUGGAUCUCUUGGCUCUCGCAUCGAUGAAGAACGCAGCGAAAUGCGAUAAGUAAUGUGAAUUGCAGAUUUUCAGUGAAUCAUCGAAUCGUUGAACGCACCUUGCGCUCCUUGGUAUUCCGAGGAGCAUGCCUGUUUGAGUGUCAUUAAAUUCUCAACCCCAGCGGUUCGUUGGGGCUUGGACUUGGAGCGUGCUGGCGAAGGUCGGCUCCUCUUUAAAUGCAUCAGCGGAAAACGGAACCUUCCCUUCGGCGUGAUAAUAUACGUUGCGUCGUGGUGGGUCGGUUAAAGAGUCCCGCUUACAAUCGUCCUCGGACAAAAAUAAAAAACAUCUGUUUUGACCUCAGAUCAGGUAGGACUACCCGCUGAACUUAAGCAUAUCAAUAAGCGGAGGCU
RNAcentral lists this unclassified non-coding RNA (405 nucleotides) under uncultured Amphinema. RNAcentral describes it as "sequence contains ITS2". The stretch from base 1 to 155 matches the Rfam family "5.8S ribosomal RNA". The record is from RNAcentral. Lineage: Eukaryota; Fungi; Basidiomycota; Agaricomycetes; Atheliales; Atheliaceae.